RNAcentral lists this ribosomal RNA (1352 nucleotides) under Pediococcus pentosaceus. RNAcentral's name for it is "bacterial SSU rRNA". It matches the Rfam family "Bacterial small subunit ribosomal RNA", at positions 60 to 1396 of the family's 1533-position model. The record is from RNAcentral. Lineage: Bacteria; Bacillati; Bacillota; Bacilli; Lactobacillales; Lactobacillaceae.
UGACGUACUUGUACUGAUUGAGAUUUUAACACGAAGUGAGUGGCGAACGGGUGAGUAACACGUGGGUAACCUGCCCAGAAGUAGGGGAUAACACCUGGAAACAGAUGCUAAUACCGUAUAACAGAGAAAACCGCAUGGUUUUCUUUUAAAAGAUGGCUCUGCUAUCACUUCUGGAUGGACCCGCGGCGUAUUAGCUAGUUGGUGAGGUAAAGGCUCACCAAGGCAGUGAUACGUAGCCGACCUGAGAGGGUAAUCGGCCACAUUGGGACUGAGACACGGCCCAGACUCCUACGGGAGGCAGCAGUAGGGAAUCUUCCACAAUGGACGCAAGUCUGAUGGAGCAACGCCGCGUGAGUGAAGAAGGGUUUCGGCUCGUAAAGCUCUGUUGUUAAAGAAGAACGUGGGUAAGAGUAACUGUUUACCCAGUGACGGUAUUUAACCAGAAAGCCACGGCUAACUACGUGCCAGCAGCCGCGGUAAUACGUAGGUGGCAAGCGUUAUCCGGAUUUAUUGGGCGUAAAGCGAGCGCAGGCGGUCUUUUAAGUCUAAUGUGAAAGCCUUCGGCUCAACCGAAGAAGUGCAUUGGAAACUGGGAGACUUGAGUGCAGAAGAGGACAGUGGAACUCCAUGUGUAGCGGUGAAAUGCGUAGAUAUAUGGAAGAACACCAGUGGCGAAGGCGGCUGUCUGGUCUGCAACUGACGCUGAGGCUCGAAAGCAUGGGUAGCGAACAGGAUUAGAUACCCUGGUAGUCCAUGCCGUAAACGAUGAUUACUAAGUGUUGGAGGGUUUCCGCCCUUCAGUGCUGCAGCUAACGCAUUAAGUAAUCCGCCUGGGGAGUACGACCGCAAGGUUGAAACUCAAAAGAAUUGACGGGGGCCCGCACAAGCGGUGGAGCAUGUGGUUUAAUUCGAAGCUACGCGAAGAACCUUACCAGGUCUUGACAUCUUCUGACAGUCUAAGAGAUUAGAGGUUCCCUUCGGGGACAGAAUGACAGGUGGUGCAUGGUUGUCGUCAGCUCGUGUCGUGAGAUGUUGGGUUAAGUCCCGCAACGAGCGCAACCCUUAUUACUAGUUGCCAGCAUUAAGUUGGGCACUCUAGUGAGACUGCCGGUGACAAACCGGAGGAAGGUGGGGACGACGUCAAAUCAUCAUGCCCCUUAUGACCUGGGCUACACACGUGCUACAAUGGAUGGUACAACGAGUCGCGAGACCGCGAGGUUAAGCUAAUCUCUUAAAACCAUUCUCAGUUCGGACUGUAGGCUGCAACUCGCCUACACGAAGUCGGAAUCGCUAGUAAUCGCGGAUCAGCAUGCCGCGGUGAAUACGUUCCCGGGCCUUGUACACACCGCCCG